CAGUCGAACGAACUCUGGUAUUGAUUGGUGCUUGCAUCAUGAUUUACAUUUGAGUGAGUGGCGAACUGGUGAGUAACACGUGGGAAACCUGCCCAGAAGCGGGGGAUAACACCUGGAAACAGAUGCUAAUACCGCAUAACAACUUGGACCGCAUGGUCCGAGUUUGAAAGAUGGCUUCGGCUAUCACUUUUGGAUGGUCCCGCGGCGUAUUAGCUAGAUGGUGGGGUAACGGCUCACCAUGGCAAUGAUACGUAGCCGACCUGAGAGGGUAAUCGGCCACAUUGGGACUGAGACACGGCCCAAACUCCUACGGGAGGCAGCAGUAGGGAAUCUUCCACAAUGGACGAAAGUCUGAUGGAGCAACGCCGCGUGAGUGAAGAAGGGUUUCGGCUCGUAAAACUCUGUUGUUAAAGAAGAACAUAUCUGAGAGUAACUGUUCAGGUAUUGACGGUAUUUAACCAGAAAGCCACGGCUAACUACGUGCCAGCAGCCGCGGUAAUACGUAGGUGGCAAGCGUUGUCCGGAUUUAUUGGGCGUAAAGCGAGCGCAGGCGGUUUUUUAAGUCUGAUGUGAAAGCCUUCGGCUCAACCGAAGAAGUGCAUCGGAAACUGGGAAACUUGAGUGCAGAAGAGGACAGUGGAACUCCAUGUGUAGCGGUGAAAUGCGUAGAUAUAUGGAAGAACACCAGUGGCGAAGGCGGCUGUCUGGUCUGUAACUGACGCUGAGGCUCGAAAGUAUGGGUAGCAAACAGGAUUAGAUACCCUGGUAGUCCAUACCGUAAACGAUGAAUGCUAAGUGUUGGAGGGUUUCCGCCCUUCAGUGCUGCAGCUAACGCAUUAAGCAUUCCGCCUGGGGAGUACGGCCGCAAGGCUGAAACUCAAAGGAAUUGACGGGGGCCCGCACAAGCGGUGGAGCAUGUGGUUUAAUUCGAAGCUACGCGAAGAACCUUACCAGGUCUUGACAUACUAUGCAAAUCUAAGAGAUUAGACGUUCCCUUCGGGGACAUGGAUACAGGUGGUGCAUGGUUGUCGUCAGCUCGUGUCGUGAGAUGUUGGGUUAAGUCCCGCAACGAGCGCAACCCUUAUUAUCAGUUGCCAGCAUUAAGUUGGGCACUCUGGUGAGACUGCCGGUGACAAACCGGAGGAAGGUGGGGAUGACGUCAAAUCAUCAUGCCCCUUAUGACCUGGGCUACACACGUGCUACAAUGGAUGGUACAACGAGUUGCGAACUCGCGAGAGUAAGCUAAUCUCUUAAAGCCAUUCUCAGUUCGGAUUGUAGGCUGCAACUCGCCUACAUGAAGUCGGAAUCGCUAGUAAUCGCGGAUCAGCAUGCCGCGGUGAAUACGUUCCCGGGCCUUGUACACACCGCCCGUCACACCAUGAGAGUUUGUAACACCCAAAGUCGGUGGGGUAACCUUUUAGGAACCAGCC
Molecule: ribosomal RNA, 1430 nt
Filed under: Lactiplantibacillus plantarum
Lineage: Bacteria; Bacillati; Bacillota; Bacilli; Lactobacillales; Lactobacillaceae
Also listed under: 1 other name
Description: bacterial SSU rRNA
Rfam family: Bacterial small subunit ribosomal RNA
Source: RNAcentral